Molecule: ribosomal RNA, 209 nt
Filed under: uncultured bacterium
Lineage: Bacteria
Description: partial 16S ribosomal RNA
Rfam family: Bacterial small subunit ribosomal RNA
Source: RNAcentral
UACGGGGGAGCAAGCGUUGUUCGGAUUUACUGGGCGUAAAGGGCGCGUAGGCGGCCACCGCAAGUCGACUGUGAAAUCUCCGGGCUUAACCCGGAAAGGUCAGCCGAUACUGCGGGGCUAGAGUGCAGAAGGGGCAACUGGAAUUCUCGGUGUAGCGGUGAAAUGCGUAGAUAAUCGAGAGGAACACCUGCGGCGAAGGCGGGGUUGCU